GACGAACCGUCCAAACGUUAUUCGGUAUCACUGGGCUUAAAGGGUGCGUAGGCGGCCGAGUAAGUUGGGUGUGAAAGCCCUCGGCUCAACCGAGGAAUUGCGCCCAAAACUGCUCGGCUCGAGGGAGAUAGAGGUGAGCGGAACUUAGGGUGGAGCGGUGAAAUGCGUUGAUAUCCUAAGGAACACCGGAGGCGAAGGCGGCUCACUGGGUCUUUCCUGACGCUGAGGCACGAAAGCUAGGGGAGCGAACGGG
RNAcentral lists this ribosomal RNA (253 nucleotides) under uncultured bacterium. RNAcentral describes it as "partial 16S ribosomal RNA". It matches the Rfam family "Bacterial small subunit ribosomal RNA", at positions 524 to 776 of the family's 1533-position model. The record is from RNAcentral.